This 406-nucleotide ribosomal RNA is filed under the name uncultured bacterium. RNAcentral describes it as "partial 16S ribosomal RNA". It matches the Rfam family "Bacterial small subunit ribosomal RNA", at positions 30 to 526 of the family's 1533-position model. The record is from RNAcentral.
AUUGAACGCUAGCGGCAGGCCUAACACAUGCAAGUCGAACGAGUGGCGGACGGGUGAGUAAUAUAUGGGAACCUGCCCGGUGGAGGGGGAUAACUACUCGAAACGGUAGCUAAUACCGCAUACCAUCAGAUGUGCCGAGAUGGGAUUAGCUUGUUGGUGGGGUAAAGGCUCACCAAGGCGACGAUCCCUAGCUGGUCUGAGAGGAUGACCAGCCACACUGGAACUGAGACACGGUCCAGACUCCUACGGGAGGCAGCAGUGGGGAAUGUUGCACAAUGGGCGAAAGCCUGAUCCAGCCAUGCCGCGUGUAUGAAGAAGGCCUUCGGGUUGUAAAGUACUUUUAGCGGGGAGGCGGUAUCCGCAGAAGAAGCACCGGCUAACUACGUGCCAGCAGCCGCGGUAAUAC